CUCCUUCCGACCUAGAAUUAUCUACUCCACCCCUCAUCCAGAACUGCCUCAGACUUUCAACUUCUUCUUCUAGCUCUCUCUUUUUUAGCAGUGCAUCCUGGAGCGCCUGACGAAGUCGCUGGCUUUCAUUCUCCACCUCUCGACACCUCUUUCUCAGGACCUCAGAUUCUGCCUCUGCAUCCGUGACGGCCUGUUGCUCGUACGCCAGCUGGAUCUUCAAUUGCUGUAGCUCAGCCAUCCUCUCCUCGAGGGCGACAGAAAGCCCUUCGGCAGUUUCCCUUAGGGACUGGAGUUCGUUGGAAUCCCGAGAAGAAGUGAGCUGAGCCCUAUCUGCCAGCUGCCUUUGAAGAUGGGCGACUUCGUCAGUCGCCACCCUGAGUCUCCCUUUAUAUUCAUCCACCUACCUGCGCCAACCGGCCCGAUGCAUGUCGUAGCUCACUUCGGCAUCCUGAAGCUGCUACUGAAGGUCAGAGACCUUCUUCGAUCACUCCCGAUCGCCGUCGGCUCGGGCCAAGAGCCGGGACGAACUUUCCUCCAGCUGGCC
RNAcentral lists this long non-coding RNA (544 nucleotides) under Elaeis guineensis (African oil palm). Its description in RNAcentral is "long non-coding RNA (EGUI_LNC081944)". The record is from RNAcentral. Lineage: Eukaryota; Viridiplantae; Streptophyta; Magnoliopsida; Arecales; Arecaceae.